Molecule: long non-coding RNA, 1085 nt
Organism: Papaver somniferum (opium poppy)
Lineage: Eukaryota; Viridiplantae; Streptophyta; Magnoliopsida; Ranunculales; Papaveraceae
Exons: 6
Source: RefSeq, a predicted model, not a curated record
UUUAUCUACUCUCUAUUUAAGGCCCUUGCGCAAAUGCCAGAAUCCCAUUUUUCUUGAAUGUGGAGUGCGCAAGAGCAAAAAUACAGGUAUACUUGGUUGAAUGUGUUUCAUCGGCAUGAUUUGAUCGUAAACUCCAUGCUACAUCACGAAACAGGUUUAUUUUUAGGAUCGUAAACUCCACGCUACAUUACGUCGAUUGAGUUCCUUACACUUGGUAAUGGAUCGGGACUCCAGCAUUGAGAGUGGAGUGCGCAAGAGAAAAAAUACAGGUUCUAAAAAGAUAUAGUCGAUUGAGCUACUUCUCUACUUCGAAAUCAGCUUCGGUGAUUUUUCUCUUCCUUCUUACUGUAUUGUAAAUAUAUUUUCGAAAAAGUUAUGGUAAUUGUUCAAGUCCUUUCCAUCGGUGUCUGCUUCAAGGCAGCAAACAGAAAAACUAACAAAGCAAACAGAAAAACUGACAAAGCUAUGGCUGGUCACCAAAAAGCACCAGGCCAGAACUCAACAAUGGGACCAUGCAAGUGAAGAUCUCGAACUAAGUUGCUUUAACGUCCUCUAUCACAUAGCUGGUAGUCAUGGUUGCUUCAACGUCUUUUUAUCACAUAACUGGUAGUCAUAUUCAAGAGACCUUAGAAUUCGGUAUUUCUUCAAUUAGGUUUCUUUGUUAUAAUUGUAAACAUAUUUUGCAUGUAAAGGGGAUAUUUUGACGAAGAAUAUGCAAAUAGAUCGAAAAAGGAAGAUAGGUAUUAUGCUGGCUAUUGCAAAUAAUUGAUAGUGUUUCAGCUGUUGGAGAAAUCUAUAUUGCGACCAACACCAACAUACUGAAGGUUCAUGGAUCAAUCAACUAUAUACUGCAUUAUAAUAUAUCGGUGCCUAUUUUCAUCAAUACAUUUAAGGUGUGUUUAUGAAAUUUCUCAUUAAAUAUAGAAAUUGUGUUGGUACAGCUCAUUAUGGGGAUGGAUAUAAUCGCUGGAGGAAGCCAGUACGUGUAUAUUCACAUAUAGGUCUACCGGUGAAACAUAAUGGAGACUCUCAGAUACGAUACAUUUGUAUGGUUUCCUUUUGCACUUCUGAAAAUUUUUAGACAC